CGCUGGGGGAAAGAAGCGCUUCUGAAGCCCGGUCCGUGAAAGAACGAGACGGAUGAUGGAUGCUCUCCGGAAAAGGCGGCGUCACGGACUGUUGACACUGUUCGCAAAGAAUCCAGAGGACUCAAAAGGGCUUGCGUAUUGUGGUCUCCUACAUUUGAUCUUCACAACAAUCCUGUAAG
Eublepharis macularius is the source of this 179-nucleotide long non-coding RNA. RefSeq lists it as uncharacterized. NCBI's taxonomy places the organism in Eukaryota, Metazoa, Chordata, Lepidosauria, Squamata, Eublepharidae. The record is from RefSeq and is a predicted model, not a curated record. The transcript has 2 exons.